UUAAACAAAUAGCCUAAAUAACAACUACACAAAGUUAAAGUCAUAAUAACUUUUUAUAAAGGUAUCUUGAAUUUCAACUGGAGGUAGUUUUGAUAAAUAUUAGUAUUCUGAACAUUAAAAUAGGUAGACUUAACAUACAUUUGUUCUGAAAACAUAUUUAGAAAUUGGUUUUAAAAAAUGAGGUUAGGAUUGGGGUGAUAACUAGUUGAGGAUUAGAUAUGAUAUUCAUUGUGUUUAUCCAUGUUGUAAUUUCUCUUUUACAGGUUCAUCCAAAAAAAAGGGAAGAUCUGAUUUUUACCAGUAAUAAGACUACAGCAUACUAAAUGACACAAGAUGUUCUUUCUCUAUUACCUCUUACAUUUGACAUAAAAGUAGGAAAAGGUUUAACAGUCUAUGCCUACAACAUAGAUCUCCAGGACUAAAAGUACACAAAAUGGCAAUCAGUAUAUCACAAGUGUAAUAACACAUGCAUCUAAUCUGCUUCAGUGGCGAGAACUGGGUGAAUCCUCUCAAACAUUAAUCAGGAACUAGGCAUACCUAAUGAGCGUCAAGCUGAUACAGUAGAUGUACAGAAGAGUUUAUACACAAGGAAGUGAAAAGUGAUGUAAAAGGCAACUAAUACUUCCAUCUACCAUAGUUAAACAAGAAUCUGCAAAUGGUGAUAAUUGCAAUAAUCUUGAUAUAUUAAUGUUUGGCUUUAUAAUUAUAUGCAAUUGUUUCAUAAAUAAAUUAUUUCUCAAAAUU
Physella acuta is the source of this 744-nucleotide long non-coding RNA. RefSeq lists it as uncharacterized. The record is from RefSeq and is a predicted model, not a curated record. Lineage: Eukaryota; Metazoa; Mollusca; Gastropoda; Physidae.